Molecule: ribosomal RNA, 453 nt
Filed under: Triticum aestivum (bread wheat)
Lineage: Eukaryota; Viridiplantae; Streptophyta; Magnoliopsida; Poales; Poaceae
Description: partial small subunit ribosomal RNA
Source: RNAcentral
AUGGUCCUACGAUGCCCCGCAUUGCGCUCCCGCCACGAUACGCUCAUGAUGCUAUGCCUUGGCGAGCUCGACACCACGGUUUGGGCGCUGCCGGUCAUCGGCCACCUGCACCACCUCGUCGGCGCCCUCCCGCACCGUGCUCGCGCAGGCCAGGAAGAACGGUGCAGCCGGCUACUCCACGGCGGCCGGCGGCUGUCGCUCCUUCACCACAGAUGCACCACAGCAGCCAUGGCAAUGAUGACGGGGACGGCGCCGCCGCAGCCUUGGGCAUGCCUCCGCACACACUUCGUCAUUGCUUCACCUCCCCGGUCGUGCCCUCCACGCACCAUACGUCCUGGCCAUCCAUGGUUCCGUCGUCGUCAGGGUGGGCACAGGCGCACAGCCACCGUAGUUGCUGCUGAAUCCCGAAAACCCCCCAUGCCAUUGCAAUCCGAGGCGCGCGCGAGAUCAUGA